GUCUGCCAGGAUUGCAUAAGAUCAAGUAUCAGAUAACUAUGUUUCUGAAUGAAGCUUAUUUGCCAGCCCAAAUGCUCUUUUGCCAGUUCUUUCGUGUUCCCUUCGUGCUCUUGGUGUUGCUUUGCCAUGGAACUCAAAUGUUUCCCAAGAAAUACAUGCAGGCUUGGGUGCAUAUUUACUCUUUUACUUCUGGUGGUUUUAUUGUAAACUAUCUGAACUCCAUCAACAGGAAUUUUGAAGAAUUUGGGGAUGGUGUAGCACUACUGAUCAGAAAGAGCCUGGCCCAGAGCCACAGUGGAAAUCAUGUACUUGGCAAGCAAGCUCCUUCGGCAUUGUUCCACAUGAUCCUAAGCAAGAGACUACCCAUUGUUCAAGAAUUCUUGAAAACAGUGAUGACAAUGCAGCAUUAUAAAUGUUUUAAUUCUAGGAACACUUCACAGAAAAUAUCUGAGGUUCCUGCCUGCCACUCUGCCUUUCCUGUACUCCUCUGGACUUGUGGAGAUUGGUCCUCAGUGGUCUGAUGGCUUUUGUGAAGGCAGCCCGACUGUAUAAUUUGGAUUCCCCAUCUUCCACUGUCUCUCUGAGCACCUUUGUGGGUGUGCAGGUGUGCACCACCGCUGAUUUCCUUGUGGUUGUACUAGCGUGGCCAUGCAGCAACCCAGAAAAACUCAUUUAACACAAGUGGAAAAAACAAUCACACAAAAGAUAUCCUCUCAGCUAAGCUGUUUCAGCUGCCUGUGGUGAUGAAGCAGCACAGCCCCAACACAAAGGCCACGUGAGAAGAUGCGGCCAGGCACAGACUAGAAUUGCACCUUUCAGCAGCACUGGAGAUCAGCUACAAGAGGUGUGACAGCAUUUCUUCGCUGUGGGGUUAGCAGAACACCUCUGCACCUAUUCUCUUUGCUUUCAUGAGGCCUCUUCUUGUCUCCUUUGUAAGAGGCUCAGCCAAGCUGUGAGACUGUGCUUGUAUCAUAGCUGGAAAGAGAGGCACGCUGUUUGUACUCCUGAGCUGCCCUUGCUGGCAGCAUGACCCACAUGAACACCUUAUAGCUGUUACUUCAGCUCAGGUUUCAAGCCCAGACUCCAAUUAUCCACACUGGUUUUCAGCUUCAACCUGUGCACAGGGACAAGUUGACUGAUGUGCCAGGAAGGAAAACCUAAGCAGGAAAUGCAAACAGGAGAAACUAGUCUGACCUUAGGACAUCCAGGGCAGAGCUAGCUUAAGUUAUACCUAGUGAACAAAUAAGCCCAGAAUGAGGAAUGUCUCACGAGGACUCAGCAUGAGACAUGGCAGCACUAGGACAUGUGGUGGCCUCAUAGCAAUUUUAAAGCAUAUAAUUAAAGUUCACAGAAUAUGUGGAUGAGCCUAAAAACAAGCAGGAAGGAUGAAACAGUUACCAUUAUCAAAGUAUUUGUGAAAGUUGGUCCCCUGUCUAUCACUUUGUCAAUGUAGAUAUUUACAAAGAAAGGCUAAUGCUGUUUUAACUGGUGCAAUAUAGUAAUAGUCUCUGGAGAGCUGCUAUGGCAUGUGGGACAUGCUGGUCUAAUAUCCUCUUUGGCCUUGCUCCUAGUAACUUCUCUUAAGCCAAAAGCUGAACUGAGUGAUCAGGCAUCACCAUUUCACUGGGUUUACAAGUCUCACAGUACUCUAUAAUUUGGAGAAGCUCCUUGGCUGGAUAUUUCAAAUUCUUAAAGAAUUUCAGGUCUAAAGUAUGUCAGCCUUUUUUUUUUUCUUUUUUUAAUUAUUCUUUAUUGCAGGCAUGUUUUACUUGUUUUCAGAAAAAAACCCAAAUGAUUCUUGACCAUCCCAGUAUCUCCCAAUCACAACUUAAUGACAAUUUUUGCCAAUUCUGCAAAAUUCUGCAAAAAACAAAAUUGGCCUCUGAGGAGAGUAUGCUUAUGCCAAUAGCUGUGUGGCUGUGCCAUAGUUUGGGAAGAACCUGUCAGUGUUUUCCCAAGUGUCUGAUCUUCUAAUUUCAUCACAAGAAGACCCAAAAAUCUGAAGAAUGUGCCUGGAAUGUGACCCUUCAGCAGAUACAAAAUGUACUCCAAAAAAGAAGCACUGAAAGUAUCACUUCAAUAUGAAUGAACCUGCUCUGCCUACUGGUCUUUUUAACCUAUAUUCAUUAUUAGUGAAGGAACACAUUAAAGGCAAGAGUCAGCAUUGACUGUAAAUGAUCUCAGUGGCCAAGAAAGCCUUACUCCCCACGCCCUUGCUCCCUUUCUUCCUGAUUCACAUGUUCUUGUCUCCUCAAACACCCAUCCUUCCUUGUUCCAGUUAUAACAGGCUUUGUUGUGAAUUGACAUGAGCCAUGCUGACUAAAAGUGGUUCCCAAAAUGACCUCAUUAGCUGUGGAGCCAGCAUGGUGCAAGCAUCAGGAGUGAGUGGUCUGUGCUGGGGCAGAAAGGAAGGAUGGGAAGGGCAGGGAGCAGCGGGUGCAUCAGCUGUAGAGAGGUGUUGAGUCAGCUGCCUAGAGCUGUGGAACCAACCCUCAAAGAUGGACAGUCUGUCUUGCAACCAACACCAGUGAAAACACUCAUCAAUAAGGUUCUAUAAACUCUGGUAAACAGCAUUGUUGCAAUUACUAAUGAAGGCAAAAACUGGAAGGUAAUGCUCUUCAAGCCUGCCUUUGCUGCAGGUAUAUCACUGAUAAUUGAGUAAUAUACAGUUGAAACUUAAUUGGAACACUAAGGAAAGCUUGAGCUAUUUAUGGUAUUUAAUAAUUUAAUAGUACAAAGUGCACUGAUUGUAGUAGUAUUCAUUUUUUUCUAUUUAAUUAUUGCUUCUAUUUCUUAAUUAAUAAUGCAAGAGUGUAUUUUUGUGUAGCACAUUUUCUUGUGCAGUUCCCAUUUUGCAACAGAAUUGAGUAAAGAUCUUCCUGUUGUUUGUAAAAAAUGAGGACAUUCAGGUAUACACACAUUCUGAAAAAUUGCUUGAGUCUAUCAUCAAUGAGAUACCUGCAAGGCCCAUAAAGAGGGUCUUAUCAUUAAAUGUUUACUCCAGGGUAUGUAAAAGCCCUCUAAUCUUUACAUUCUUAUGUUUACAACACUCAGGUAAAAACGGGGAGUUUAAUUUCUCCCACUACAGCUAGGAUAUCAAAGCACAGAGGUGUUAAAGUCUGUAUGUACUCAAAAAGGUUAUUUAAGAUCAUGGAUCCAUCUACAUGACUUGCCUAGAGUGCUGAGAAAAGCUUUUGUGGAAUAAGCACUGGACUUGCAUCUGCCAAAUCCAAAAUCUUUCUUACUAGUGGACUUUGCUGUCUCACUAACAUUGCAAUAAAAAGUUCUUUAAAGCUGAGUUUAGAGUACUUUGUUGAGUGGGAAGAAAGAUUUUCUUCUAAGGGAAGUUUUGAAUGUAGGUCACCAAAGGGCAGAAAGGAUAUGAAAUUACUGCUGAUACACAUGAUGGCUUUUUGGAAGGAAAAUGAAAGCUGUAAUGUUUUGGGGGAAAAUAAACCAUUAUCCAUGACAUGAAAAACAAACAUAUUAAGGAAUAAUGUGUUAUACUGAAGCCCUAAGGGAUUGAAGUCAGUAGAGAAUAGUCCUUCCACUGGAAAAAUAAAGGAGGUACUCCAUAGGUCAGCUUAGCAUUGCUCUAGAACAAGAUGAUGUUACUUAGAAAGCCAGCAUGCUGACAGCCUGUGCACCUAUUCAGAAUGUACAGAAUGGAAAAGAAUAAAAAAUAAUCCAUUUUAAGGUCAUGUCUUAAAUGUGAAGAAAUAAGAUGCUAUAUUUGUAUUAUGAGUUUGCUUUGGUGUAUUGAUGGUAAAAUACUUCUCAGUGUUAAAGACAAUUUAUGAGUAUAAUCAUGGGUCUAAAUUUUGUACUUCUAUUUUAUAUGAAAUCAGUUUGGUUGAGAUAUUUAUAGUGGACCUGAAUGCAAUUUUUAUGGCUAAAAAAGCAAAUUUGAAAUUGAAGGACAUAAAAUGAGAAACAAACUUUUUCCGAAGGAAUUUGCCCUGACAUCAAAGAGAUUCUUGGUGGGCCCUCUAAUAUCCUAUGCUUGAUAUAGGAGACCAGUCUAAAGGAAGAAAGAAAGGUGAAUUCUCAACAGGUGGCAUAGACAGAAUAUUCUUUAUUAUGACCUACCUUGUUCUGGGAGUUUUAAGUAUUAUUGGUAACAGAACUGGACUUUAGGUCCGUGCAUGACAUAGUCUGACUAGUCUUACUUUCUAGAAUAUGGUUUCACUCAAUAAAAUUUUUAUAUUUUCAUAA
Oenanthe melanoleuca is the source of this 4215-nucleotide long non-coding RNA. RefSeq lists it as uncharacterized. The transcript is spliced from 4 exons. NCBI's taxonomy places the organism in Eukaryota, Metazoa, Chordata, Aves, Passeriformes, Muscicapidae. The record is from RefSeq and is a predicted model, not a curated record.